CUAGGUCAUUUAGAGGAAGUAAAAGUCGUAACAAGGUUUCCGUAGGUGAACCUGCGGAAGGAUCAUUACCUAGAGUUUGCAGACUUCGGUCUGCUACCUCUUACCCAUGUCUUNUGAGUACCUUCGUUUCCUCGGCGGGUCCGCCCGCCGGUUGGACAACAUUCAAACCCUUUGCAGUUGCAAUCAGCGUCUGAAAAAACUUAAUAGUUACAACUUUCAACAACGGAUCUCUUGGUUCUGGCAUCGAUGAAGAACGCAGCGAAAUGCGAUAAGUAGUGUGAAUUGCAGAAUUCAGUGAAUCAUCGAAUCUUUGAACGCACAUUGCGCCCCUCGGUAUUCCAUGUGGCAUGCCUGUUCGAGCGUCAUUUGUACCUUCAAGCUCUGCUUGGUGUUGGGUGUUUUGUCUCGCCUCCGCGCGCAGACUCGCCUUAAAACAAUUGGCAGCCGGCGCAUUGAUUUCGGAGCGCAGUACAUCUUGCGCUUUGCACUCAUAACGACUACGUCCAAAAGUACAUUUUUACACUCUUGACCUCGGAUCAGGUAGGGAUACCCGCUGAACUUAAGCAUAUCAAUAAGCGGAGGA
This 583-nucleotide ribosomal RNA is filed under the name Epicoccum nigrum. RNAcentral describes it as "eukaryotic LSU rRNA". The stretch from base 212 to 365 matches the Rfam family "5.8S ribosomal RNA". The record is from RNAcentral. Lineage: Eukaryota; Fungi; Ascomycota; Dothideomycetes; Pleosporales; Didymellaceae.